Hippocampus comes (tiger tail seahorse) is the source of this 2202-nucleotide RNA transcript. It is a transcript of the gene named thioredoxin domain containing 5, with no coding region annotated. The transcript is spliced from 12 exons. Lineage: Eukaryota; Metazoa; Chordata; Actinopteri; Syngnathiformes; Syngnathidae. The record is from RefSeq and is a predicted model, not a curated record.
AGGCUUCAAACGCGCGCGCCCCGUCCACGUCUUGCAUACCUUGAACCGGAUUUCGAAUACGCUUCCCAUUGUGGCCGGCGAAGCAGCAGCGACUCGCAGACACUCGUCAUGGCGCCCGCACUGAAUUGCGCUCCUUUUACCCUCGUUUUUAUUUAUUGCUUACUGUUUUCUUCGGUACUUUGCGAUGAAGACGACGCAGCAGAAGAGCACGCCAAGCACACGUACACGGUGGAAAUGUUUACCGAGGCGGUGACCACGGCGCCGCACUUUGUCAUGUUUUACGCCCCGUGGUGCGCCCAUUGUCAGAAGCUGCAGCCGACAUGGAAUGAAUUGGCAGAUAAGUACAACAACAUGGAAGAUCCCCCCGCCUACGUCGUCAAAAUAGACUGUGUUCAAAACACCAAGUUCUGCUCCAAAGACCACAACAUCCGAAGCUACCCCACGCUGGUGUUGUACAAGCCAGAACAGGCGCCUCUCAAGUACCAGGGCUUGAGAGUAUUGGAGGCGCUGGAGGAAUGGAUGUUGAAGAAGCUGGAGACGGACCCGUCCUCCGAAGCGGAGCAGGAGCCGGCUGUUCCCCCGGAGCCCAAGGACGGCAUGUACGAGCUCUCCGCCGGCAACUUCAAGGACCACGUUUCCAAAGGAUUGCAUUUCAUCAAGUUCUACGCGCCGUGGUGCGGCCACUGCAAAGCCAUGGCGCCCGCCUGGGACCAGAUGGCCUCCACCUUUGAGCAUUCCGAGGACCUCAAAAUCGGCAAGCUGGACUGCGCCGAACACCACGAUCUGUGCGUCAUGUUCAGCGUGCGCGGAUAUCCCACGCUGCUGUUCUUCAAGGGAGGUGACAAGAUCGAGGUCACGCGCUACAAAGGACAGCGAGACUAUGACACCCUCAAGGAAUAUGCGGACCGGAUGGUGAUCGCCGCAAAGACGCCACCGGAAGAAGCUGAAAAAGACGGCGAGGAAGGAGACCAGGAGGAGCCCAAGGAAGAUGCCGAAGGAGGAGCCCGCCAGGAGCCCGCGGACGACAAGGAAGGAGCCCGCGAGGAGCCCGCGCAGGCUGACGUCAAAGAGGAGGCAGCCCAGCAGCAGCAGGAGGAGGUCAAGUCCAACGUCUUACACCUGACGGAGAGCAACUUUGACGAGGCCAUCUCCAAAGGAUUCACUUUUGUCAAGUUCUUCGCUCCGUGGUGCGGCCACUGCAAGCGUCUGGCUCCCGUGUGGGACGAGCUCUCCGCCAAGGACUUUCCUGCUCUGACCAGCAUCAAGAUCGCCAAAGUGGACUGCACGGUGGAGCGCACGCUCUGCAACAAGUAUUCUGUGCGAGGCUACCCCACCCUGGUGAUGUUCCGCGCCGGCGAGCAGGGCGACAAGUAUAGCGGCACCCGCGACCUGGAGAACCUGUACAAAUUUGUCAUGAAGCAAGCGAGGGACGAGCUGUGAGGACCCGCGCGUCGGCGCAGCGCCCGCCCACCCGCCCGUCCCUCCUGCGGCCAAACUGGGUCUUUGGGUAUUUGUCAUUCUUGGUUCUUGGAAAAACCACUUAGGAAGUUUCUGAAGGGGGUCUCGGUUGUUUCCUGACAUGAUUUGUGUAGCCGCUUUUUUUUUUUUUAAAUGUACACGUGGGAUCUGUUGUUUGAGUGCAAGCCAUGAAUUGAUGUUGUCUCACCAGUGCUUAUGUGACUUAAGUCUCAGGGAAAAAGCUGAAAGAGCUUGGGACGCCCUCGCAGGAGUCUGACUUGAAGACGUGAACGCAGAUCAGCCCCCCCCACACCCCAAAACGACAUUCUAUUUUCUGCUGCUUCUGUUGAUCUCGAAAACCUGAACGGUACUGGCUAACAUCCUCCAGAGGACAAUGGUCUGUGGAGCCGCUUCGAGCGACCCCAGUGAGAUGUUGAACAAUCCACCUAGUCAGUCAGACAGUCUCAGAACUAUUUCCUCAUAUUUGGACUGUGUAAAUGAAAUGCGCUGCACAUGUUGCUCCUUGACACAGUUUGUGUGACAAAGUCAAACCAGGUAUAUACACACACACACACACAGCAAUUUUUGCCAGUAAAUCUUUAUGACAAGCACAUGGUCUACGGAACUCCAGUGACACUUGUUUUUGUGUGUUAUGCAGUCAUGGGUCGUGCACUGCCCCCCCCCCCCCAUAAAAUAAUGGCAAGUUUAACAUGAGAUUUCAUAAUAAAAGAAAUCUAAAAUAGG